Long non-coding RNA from Prionailurus viverrinus (fishing cat), 2363 nucleotides. RefSeq lists it as uncharacterized. The record is from RefSeq and is a predicted model, not a curated record. Lineage: Eukaryota; Metazoa; Chordata; Mammalia; Carnivora; Felidae. The transcript has 3 exons.
GUAGCUGAUAUCAUGAGCACGGAUACAUAGACCUCAUAAACAGAGCUCUCACACCUUAUCAGAACAUUCUCAUCUGAAAGUUUCUCACUUGAUGCUGUUUAGGAAUCAGAAGGUGGCAGAAAGGGGAAGAGAAGCAGAGAAGACAAGGUCAUAACACCACUGAGAAAAGCGGCUUGAAAAUGAAAAUAAACACACUUCUCAUCAAAAGAGAGAAUUUGUACAAAGCGACCUGUAUUUUAUGUGUGAUGUUAUUCAUCCAUGGUUGUAGAAAGCAUAUUCCAGUCCUGUCUGUACCCCAGCUGCCGGAGAAAGGACGGCUGUACCUGUAUUGGAACCUGCCUCAGAAUGUCUACCCACGAGAUCUUACUCCAGCCAGACUUCUAGUGUUUUGUGAUUUUGCCAAGAAAUAAGGGAAAAAAGAUCCCUAAGAUGGCUAUUUCAAUGCAGCAAAGAGGAGAGGCUGUCUGUUUUCUAUGGCCCUGUGUAAUUCAGAUCCAGGAUGACUCAUUCCUCUUAAGUGAGAAUAAGCUUAAAAAAUUAGCCCAUUUUCCUCUCCUUCAGGCUUUAGUGUCCACAUCAGCCAAACCAAGCAAAGAGUUCACUUUGAAAGAAAUCUCACAGCAGACAGCAAAGCCUGAGCCACAAAAGACCCAUUUGUAAAGAGAUUAUCACCAAGGCAGCUCGUGGUUAUGAUUUGGGACAAAAUAGAUUCAUAGGAGUCAUACUUCUUUCAAAUACAUUUUCUAACUUGGACCAUAUGAAAAUUGGUAUCUAAUCUCAUGCAAAAAAGAAAAGGUGUAUGCAGAAUAUCUUCAAAUAAACUGAUAUGUAAGCACAUAUUUAAAUAGGAAUUGUAAUUAAUAUCAUUAUCACUAAAAGAAAUGAUGUUUUAUAUAUACAAAGGCAUGUGUUAUAUCAAGCAUGCAGACCAUGGUGUCUAAUACGGUCCCCACUAAAAGGAACUAGGCUCUGCAAAUCCAUGGGUAAUCCCAAGGCUGGGCAAGAGACAUCUUUUGAUGUCAGAAAGUAAAGAAGUGCUUAAAAAAGGGUAGGGGGAUAUGACAAAGACAUAGGAGCCAGGGUGAGGGGGUCCCACUGCCCAAAUACAGGAAAAUUUGAACACCAAAAUAAUUAAGAACAAUAAAGAAUGUUAAACCAUUGGAAGAAAGAAGAAGCUAUCAGUUCAUACCAGUACCAGAUUAUUGAUGAAUAGAUGAUGGAUGGAUGAUAGAUGAUAGAUGAUGAUAGAUAGAUAGGUAGAUAGAUGAUAGACAAAUAUUGAUAGGAGGGAGAGUCAAAAGCUAAAUGUGGAAGGAAGGGUAAACUUAAAAGAUCAUGAUUUUGUAUCCAUCAUAGUAAAAAUUGGAUCAAGCAAGAAUUAGCAAGGGAUAAUCAAUGUAAGAGGAAAUUUAUAUGAGGAGCAGGAUAUUUACAUAGUCAUAAAGAAUCUCCCCACAGAUUGCUGAUUGGUAAUAAUAUGGUGCAGAGAUUGGACAACAUAUUGGCUGAGUGAUCAAAAUUAACAUCGCCAAUGAGAGACAGAUGGACAUCAUGUGCCUCCAGAUGUGAUAAUGCUGAGACAGGCACAACAUCACUUAGGCAUCAUACCAGGCAUGAUCGUAAGACAACGUUGACAAAAUCAAAACGAAAAAUGGUUUGUUUAAAAGAAAAGCAAGUUUAUUCUUCAAAAAUGUUAAUGUUGAAGAAAAAAAAAAAGAGGCACAGUGGAAAUAUUCCAGAUUAAAGGGCCCUGAAGAAACACAGUAACUAAAUGCAAUAACUAAUCUUAAAGUGGACUGUGUGUAAAGAGGGAAAAAAUAUACCAUUAUGCACAUUGUUGGGGCAACUGGCAAAAUUGGGGUACAAACAGUAGAGUAUACAGAAAUGUCCUAUCAAAUUAACCAUUCUCCUAGGGUCAGCUAACAGAAUCUCUCUAUUCUCAGACUUAAAGCAUUGAAGCCUUUAAAGCAUAUGCAACUUAUUUUCAAUUGACUCAGAAAAUAAAACACAUACACGAUGCAGCAAAAGGAGUAAGUUGCUAAUUAUAUUUUGGAUACAAGUUGACUUUGAGUCAAAGGUAUAUGGGAGUUCUGCGUUCUGUUUAUAUUUUUGCCUUUUUGUACAUUUUCUGUAAGUGCCAAAUUAUUUUGAAAUAAAAGGUUUUUUAAAAGUCUGUGCUCGAUCUUUGAGGAUAAAGAGGUACAAUAUGCAAUUGUGUCAUCCUGGAAUCCAAGUCCUAAUUGGGGUGGAGCAUCCAACAUAUGCACAUCCACAUGAAAAAUAAAUAUUGAGGAUCACACAUGACAAAAUAAUUUCCAUAAAAUAUUUAUUGUCUUUUUGCCUGUUUGAUUGCAAUCUCCUUU